This 497-nucleotide ribosomal RNA is filed under the name uncultured bacterium. RNAcentral's name for it is "partial 16S ribosomal RNA". It matches the Rfam family "Bacterial small subunit ribosomal RNA", at positions 28 to 507 of the family's 1533-position model. The record is from RNAcentral.
GAUGAACGCUGGCGGCGUGCCUAAUACAUGCAAGUCGAGCGAACAGAUGAGGAGCUUGCUCCUCUGACGUUAGCGGCGGACGGGUGAGUAACACGUGGAUAACCUACCUAUAAGACUGGGAUAACUUCGGGAAACCGGAGCUAAUACCGGAUAAUAUAUUGAACCGCAUGGUUCAAUAGUGAAAGACGGUUUUGCUGUCACUUAUAGAUGGAUCCGCGCCGCAUUAGCUAGUUGGUAAGGUAACGGCUUACCAAGGCAACGAUGCGUAGCCGACCUGAGAGGGUGAUCGGCCCCACUGGAACUGAGACACGGUCCAGACUCCUACGGGAGGCAGCAGUAGGGAAUCUUCCGCAAUGGGCGAAAGCUUGACGGAGCAACGCCGCGUGAGUGAUGAAGGUCUUCGGAUCGUAAAACUCUGUUAUUAGGGAAGAACAAAUGUGUAAGUAACUAUGCACGUCUUGACGGUACCUAAUCAGAAAGCCACGGCUAACUACGUG